Molecule: ribosomal RNA, 422 nt
Filed under: uncultured bacterium
Lineage: Bacteria
Description: bacterial SSU rRNA
Rfam family: Bacterial small subunit ribosomal RNA
Source: RNAcentral
UGAGGAAUAUUGGUCAAUGGGUGCAAGCCUGAACCAGCCAUCCCGCGUGAAGGACGACUGCCCUAUGGGUUGUAAACUUCUUUUGUACAGGGAUAAACCUACCCUCGUGAGGGUAGCUGAAGGUACUAUACGAAUAAGCACCGGCUAACUCCGUGCCAGCAGCCGCGGUAAUACGGAGGGUGCAAGCGUUAUCCGGAUUUAUUGGGUUUAAAGGGUCCGUAGGCGGACUUAUAAGUCAGUGGUGAAAGCCUGUCGCUUAACGAUAGAACUGCCAUUGAUACUGUAAGUCUUGAGUAUAUUUGAGGUAGCUGGAAUAAGUAGUGUAGCGGUGAAAUGCAUAGAUAUUACUUAGAACACCAAUUGCGAAGGCAGGUUACCAAGAUAUAACUGACGCUGAGGGACGAAAGCGUGGGGAGCGAACA